Molecule: long non-coding RNA, 532 nt
Organism: Acyrthosiphon pisum (pea aphid)
Lineage: Eukaryota; Metazoa; Arthropoda; Insecta; Hemiptera; Aphididae
Exons: 4
Source: RefSeq, a predicted model, not a curated record
GCGCAGACUGAACAAAAUUCAGUUUGUUGUGAUCAUACCUAUUUAUUUAGUCAUAUAUAAAUAUAUAAUACUAUGUUAUAGAAAUGCACAAGUGUAUAGUGUGCGGCAAUAAAUCUAAGUACACAAAGGUCAAUCGUCCAGGAGUUAUUUAUCAUGGAUUUCCAAAGAAUGCAUACAUGAGGAAAAAAUGGUUUAAAGUUUUUGGGAUUGAUCGUUGCCAUGAUUGGCAACGUAAAUGUAGUGAUCAUUUUUUAGAAGAAAACUAUAAGCCAGGAAAAAAGUGAUUUUUAUUUUCAAAUGCUAUUCCCCAACCUUAUCAUCGAAAUGGUUUUCCUUCUAAUUAUGCUACUCAAAGUAAUGAUGUUGAAACUGGAAAUAAUGUAAUUUUACCGAUGGAACAAAAUAUUAUACAUGAUUGCAUAGAAUCUGAAUUUUAAAAAGAGGAACAUAUUGAAAAUGCUAUUGAAAAUAAUUUUAAAUCAAGACGGUCAUCUACACUUACUAGAAAAAAUGAGGAUAUGAGUAAUAAAAA